AGAACGAACGCUGGCGGCAGGCUUAACACAUGCAAGUCGAACGCCCCGCAAGGGGAGUGGCAGACGGGUGAGUAACACGUGGGAACAUGCCCAAAGGUACGGAACAACUCCGGGAAACUGGAGCUAAUACCGUAUGUGCCCGAAAGGGGAAAGAUUUAUCGCCUUUGGAUUGGCCCGCGUCGGAUUAGCUAGUUGGUGGGGUAAAAGCCUACCAAGGCGACGAUCCGUAGCUGGUCUGAGAGGACGACCAGCCACACUGGGACUGAGACACGGCCCAGACUCCUACGGGAGGCAGCAGUGGGGAAUCUUGGACAAUGGGCGCAAGCCUGAUCCAGCCAUGCCGCGUGGAUGAUGAAGGCCCUAGGGUUGUAAACCGCUUUCAGUAGGGAAGAAAAUGACGGUACCUACAGAAGAAGGUGCGGCCAACUACGUGCCAGCAGCCGC
This 444-nucleotide ribosomal RNA is filed under the name uncultured bacterium. RNAcentral's name for it is "SSU rRNA". It matches the Rfam family "Bacterial small subunit ribosomal RNA", at positions 26 to 518 of the family's 1533-position model. The record is from RNAcentral.